This 1549-nucleotide ribosomal RNA is filed under the name Staphylococcus aureus. Its description in RNAcentral is "Bacterial small subunit ribosomal RNA". It matches the Rfam family "Bacterial small subunit ribosomal RNA". Lineage: Bacteria; Bacillati; Bacillota; Bacilli; Caryophanales; Staphylococcaceae. The record is from RNAcentral.
UAUGGAGAGUUUGAUCCUGGCUCAGGAUGAACGCUGGCGGCGUGCCUAAUACAUGCAAGUCGAGCGAACGGACGAGAAGCUUGCUUCUCUGAUGUUAGCGGCGGACGGGUGAGUAACACGUGGAUAACCUACCUAUAAGACUGGGAUAACUUCGGGAAACCGGAGCUAAUACCGGAUAAUAUUUUGAACCGCAUGGUUCAAAAGUGAAAGACGGUCUUGCUGUCACUUAUAGAUGGAUCCGCGCUGCAUUAGCUAGUUGGUAAGGUAACGGCUUACCAAGGCAACGAUGCAUAGCCGACCUGAGAGGGUGAUCGGCCACACUGGAACUGAGACACGGUCCAGACUCCUACGGGAGGCAGCAGUAGGGAAUCUUCCGCAAUGGGCGAAAGCCUGACGGAGCAACGCCGCGUGAGUGAUGAAGGUCUUCGGAUCGUAAAACUCUGUUAUUAGGGAAGAACAUAUGUGUAAGUAACUGUGCACAUCUUGACGGUACCUAAUCAGAAAGCCACGGCUAACUACGUGCCAGCAGCCGCGGUAAUACGUAGGUGGCAAGCGUUAUCCGGAAUUAUUGGGCGUAAAGCGCGCGUAGGCGGUUUUUUAAGUCUGAUGUGAAAGCCCACGGCUCAACCGUGGAGGGUCAUUGGAAACUGGAAAACUUGAGUGCAGAAGAGGAAAGUGGAAUUCCAUGUGUAGCGGUGAAAUGCGCAGAGAUAUGGAGGAACACCAGUGGCGAAGGCGACUUUCUGGUCUGUAACUGACGCUGAUGUGCGAAAGCGUGGGGAUCAAACAGGAUUAGAUACCCUGGUAGUCCACGCCGUAAACGAUGAGUGCUAAGUGUUAGGGGGUUUCCGCCCCUUAGUGCUGCAGCUAACGCAUUAAGCACUCCGCCUGGGGAGUACGACCGCAAGGUUGAAACUCAAAGGAAUUGACGGGGACCCGCACAAGCGGUGGAGCAUGUGGUUUAAUUCGAAGCAACGCGAAGAACCUUACCAAAUCUUGACAUCCUUUGACAACUCUAGAGAUAGAGCUUUCCCCUUCGGGGGACAAAGUGACAGGUGGUGCAUGGUUGUCGUCAGCUCGUGUCGUGAGAUGUUGGGUUAAGUCCCGCAACGAGCGCAACCCUUAAGCUUAGUUGCCAUCAUUAAGUUGGGUACUCUAAGUUGACUGCCGGUGACAAACCGGAGGAAGGUGGGGAUGACGUCAAAUCAUCAUGCCCCUUAUGAUUUGGGCUACACACGUGCUACAAUGGACAAUACAAAGGGCAGCGAAACCGCGAGGUCAAGCAAAUCCCAUAAAGUUGUUCUCAGUUCGGAUUGUAGUCUGCAACUCGACUACAUGAAGCUGGAAUCGCUAGUAAUCGUAGAUCAGCAUGCUACGGUGAAUACGUUCCCGGGUCUUGUACACACCGCCCGUCACACCACGAGAGUUUGUAACACCCGAAGCCGGUGGAGUAACCUUUUAGGAGCUAGCCGUCGAAGGUGGGACAAAUGAUUGGGGUGAAGUCGUAACAAGGUAGCCGUAUCGGAAGGUGCGGCUGGAUCACCUCCUU